This 105-nucleotide microRNA precursor is filed under the name Canis lupus dingo (dingo). RNAcentral's name for it is "mir-8834 microRNA precursor family". It matches the Rfam family "mir-8834 microRNA precursor family". The record is from Rfam by way of RNAcentral. Lineage: Eukaryota; Metazoa; Chordata; Mammalia; Carnivora; Canidae.
AGGAGGAACAACCGCAGUGGCGGGGCCAGCUCUGGAGCCCUGGAGUCAGCCCCCGCAGUAACUCCGGAGCUCUCGGUCUGCAGGGCCUGGAGGCUCCGGGGCGGG